This 371-nucleotide ribosomal RNA is filed under the name uncultured bacterium. Its description in RNAcentral is "bacterial SSU rRNA". It matches the Rfam family "Bacterial small subunit ribosomal RNA", at positions 527 to 896 of the family's 1533-position model. The record is from RNAcentral.
GUAGGGGGCAAGCGUUGUUCGGAAUUACUGGGCGUAAAGGGCGCGUAGGCGGCAUGGCAAGUCAGGAGUGAAAGGCCUGGGCCCAACCGAGGAACUGCUUUUGAUACUGCCAAGCUAGAGUGCGGAAGGGGCAACUGGAAUUCCCAGUGUAGCGGUGAAAUGCGUAGAUAUUGGGAAGAACACCUGAGGCGAAGGCGGGUUGCUGGGCCGACACUGACGCUGAGGCGCGAAAGCCAGGGGAGCAAACGGGAUUAGAUACCCCGGUAGUCCACGCCCUAAACGAUGGAUACUAGGCGUAAGAGGUAUCGACCCCUCUUGUGCCGCAGCUAACGCAUUAAGUAUCCCGCCUGGGGACUACGGCCGCAAGGUUG